UACGUAGGGGGCAAGCGUUGUCCGUAUUUAUUGGGCGUAAAGAGCGUGUAGGCGUCCAGAUAUGUCAGCUGUGAAAACUCGAGGCUCAACCUCGAGACGUCGGUUGAAACCGUAAGGCUAGAGUCCGGAAGAGGAGAGUGGAAUUCCCGGUGUAGCGGUGAAAUGCGCAGAUAUCGGGAAGAACACCCGUGGCGAAGGCGGCUCUCUGGGACGGUACUGACGCUGAGACGCGAAAGCGUGGGGAGCGAACAGG
RNAcentral lists this ribosomal RNA (253 nucleotides) under uncultured bacterium. RNAcentral's name for it is "partial 16S ribosomal RNA". It matches the Rfam family "Bacterial small subunit ribosomal RNA", at positions 524 to 776 of the family's 1533-position model. The record is from RNAcentral.